UUGGCCCAACCCAAACACAGCGACGCAGCGAUGCGGGGAGCCAGACAGGAGCGACCGGGUGUCUGGUCUCGUGCGCGAGUAGCAGACCGAAUCCCCUUUCCCCUUUCCCUAACCUAGCGCUAGUUGAGGCUCCGGCGGCGGUGGCGAGCGAUUCUGGUCCGACAGCCGGCCUUCUCCUCUCGCCUCUCCCUCAGUUCCUCCCCUCCACUCCGGCCAUCUCCCUCCCCAGCUCCCCUCCCCUCCGUCCGUCCCUCUCCUCCAAUCCUCCGCGACUCCGCCAGGCGCCAGGCGCCAGGCCGCCAGUCCGCCUCCGGCUUCCCCAGCACGGCGACUGCCGGCAGCGCCCUCCGUCGAUAGUACGACCUCGGUUCAGCGCCGUCCCGCAGCAGCAGGCAGCAGGUCCGGCGACAGCGCCGUCCAGCAGCAGCAGGCAGCAGAUGAAGAAGAAGGAUGUUAGCAUAUUUGAAAUGUGGGACAAAUCUUCAAGACAAGGAAAAUAACUUCUACGUCCACACCAACUUCUCUUUCCGUUGAGCUGGAGAGCAAUCUGCAGCUAGCACUAGUGCAAAGAUAUGACGAAGCUCCGCAACCGGAGAGGGAGACAACUCCAAUUGUAGAAGAUGAUGAAGCGGUCGAUGAAGAUGAUGAAUCAAUGCCCCAAUUUGAAGCAGAUUUGGCAGCUCUGGAACGUGAUCCCGGCAAGCGACUUCCCAUUUCUUCGUAUCAUGCCAAUGACCAAGUAGAGUUAGAAGGAGAUGCAUUGACUUGGGUGCUUGUCAACCAAAGGAUCAUAAGUUUGAGAUCAGAGAUUUUAGUGGACAUCCCCGUCGCUUUUGCCCUACUUGGUUUAAGCAUCAUAAGUGGCUUGAGUAUAGUGUGCAAGAAGAGGCUGCUUUCUGCUUUGUUUGCUACUUGUUCAAGGAUAAAACAAAAAGUCUCGGAGGAGAUGCAUUUGUGAACGUUGGGGCUCUCACUACAGAAUGUCAACCAUGUUAUCUCUAUGUAUCCGGCAAUAAGGCGUGUUCUCAUAAGGAUUGCAAAAGAGUAUAUAAUGGCACAGAGGCAGUAGCAGCAAUGACUAUGUUGACAUCAUUUCAGACAUUUGAAUUUGUUUUCAUGGCACACUUGAUGCAAGAAAUAUUUGAAUACACCGAUGACUCGGGUAGAGCUUUGCAAAAGAAAGAUUAAGAUAUUGUUAAUGCUAUGGAGAUUGUUGAUCUCACAAAGCUGCACUUGCAAUGCUUGCGAGAAGAUGAAGGGUGGAAUGAUUUUCUUGAGAAUGUCACUUCUUUUUGUGUAAAGCACAAGAUCAAAAUUGUUGACAUGGAGGCUCCUUACUAUCCUGCUGGGAGACCAAGAAGAGGGUGCUUCAAUGGCACAAAGAAUUACCAACGUUUCAAGGUUGAAACGUUUGUGGGUGUCAUUGAUAGGCAACUUCAAGAGCUGAAUGCAAGAUUUGAAGAGGUAAACACUGAACUACUUGCAUGGCAGCAUUCAGUCCACAUGAUUCAUUUGAUGCUUAUGAUAAAGAGAAGUUGGUUAGGCUUGCUAGAAAGUUUUAUGCUAAGGAUUUUACAAAUGAUGAAUUGUCAAGACUUCCAUGGCAAUUAAGCAUGUUCAUUUCUCAUGUGCGUAAGGAUAAAAGGUUUAGCAAGUUGAAGAAUCUAUGUGAGCUUUCAGUUUUGAUGGUUGAGACAAGAAAGAAAGAACAAUAUUAUAUCGUUUACAAACUUCUUAAGUUGGUUUCAUUCUUCCGGUAGCCACUGCUAGCGUUGAGAGGGUAUUUUCCUCGAUGAAAUACGUGAAGAAUUCACUAAGAAACAAAAUGGGUGAUGAAUAUUUGAACAAUUUCUUGGUUACAUUCGUUGAGAGAGAAUUCUUCAGGCAAGUGAAAGAUGAGGAUGUCAUCAAUCUCUUCCAGAAAGGGAUCGUAAAAUUAUAUUGUAAUUUUCUUUGCUAUUUGUAAUUUUUCUUAAUUGUUAGAGAUAUUGCGACAAUGAUAUUUUGCUACUAUUAUUGAUGUAUGGUCAUUGAGUCAUUAAUGUUAUCAUCUUGUUGUACAUUUAUUGUUCUAUUGUGUUGCUUUGGCAUAAAAAAAUUAAAAGAAUACCCAUCAGCAAAUUCCUGGCUCCGCCACUAGUGGGAUGGUCUCAACGAGGUCAUGUUCACCGACCCCCCAACCAGCUGGGGUGUGGCAUACUGUGAAACAGCAUCCACAGGGUCAUGUUCAUCGAGCGCCAACAGCCUACAACCGCGAUGAGGUACUGUUCAUCGAACGCCAACUGCCUACGACCGUAAUGGCCUCCCCUGUUUGUUUGGA
Molecule: non-coding RNA, 2320 nt
Organism: Aegilops tauschii subsp. strangulata
Lineage: Eukaryota; Viridiplantae; Streptophyta; Magnoliopsida; Poales; Poaceae
Source: RefSeq, a predicted model, not a curated record